This 479-nucleotide ribosomal RNA is filed under the name uncultured bacterium. Its description in RNAcentral is "partial 16S ribosomal RNA". It matches the Rfam family "Bacterial small subunit ribosomal RNA", at positions 28 to 507 of the family's 1533-position model. The record is from RNAcentral.
GAUGAACGCUGGCGGCGUGCUUAACACAUGCAAGUCGAACGAAGCACCUUGAUUCGAUUCUUCGGAUGAAGAUCUUGAUGACUGAGUGGCGGACGGGUGAGUAACGCUUGAGUAACCUGCCUCAUCCAGGGGGAUAACAGUUAGAAAUGACUGCUAAUACGCCAUAAGACCACAGCACCGCAUGGUGCAGGGUUGAAGACUCCGGUGGGAUGAGAUGGACCCGCGUCUGAUUAGGUAGUUGGUGGGGUAACGGCCUACCAAGCCGACGAUCAGUAGCCGAGCUGAGAGCGUGACCGGCCACAUUGGGACUGAGACACGGCCCAAACUCCUACGGGAGGGAGGAGUGGGGAAUAUUGCACAAUGGAGGAAAAUCUGAUGACGCGACGCCGCGUGAGAGAUGAAGUAUUUCGGUAUGUAAAGCUCUAUCAGAAGGGAAGAAAAUGACGGUACCUGACAAAGAAGCACCGGCUAAAUACGUG